This 351-nucleotide small RNA is filed under the name Arabidopsis thaliana (thale cress). Its description in RNAcentral is "ATSL035190". The record is from RNAcentral. Lineage: Eukaryota; Viridiplantae; Streptophyta; Magnoliopsida; Brassicales; Brassicaceae.
GUUUGUCAGCAAUAUUUUGUUGGUUGUAGCUUCUUUUGGGAGAAAAUGGGUAUAAGUGUUGUUUAAACACUCCUAAUCCAUCUCUAACUCUUAUAAUUAGUCAAAUGCAUUAGCUUGUGACAUAUUUUGACAAUAGAAACACUAACAAAGCUAUUUACUGUUUCUAAGCAAGUUUUCGUUGGUUUUAGCCUCUUUAGGGAGAAAAUAAGUAUAAGUGUUGUCUACACACUCCUAAUCCAUCUCUAACUCUUAUAACUAGUUAAAUGCUUUGGAUUGUGACACAUUUUGACCAUAGAAACACUCAUAAAGCUAUUUACUGCUUCUAAGCAAUUUUUUGUAGGUAUUAGCCUA